This is a small nuclear RNA of Anolis carolinensis (green anole), 140 nucleotides long. Its record names the gene U2. It matches the Rfam family "U2 spliceosomal RNA". Rfam says of the family: U2 is a small nuclear RNA (snRNA) component of the spliceosome (involved in pre-mRNA splicing). Lineage: Eukaryota; Metazoa; Chordata; Lepidosauria; Squamata; Anolidae. The record is from Ensembl.
GCAGCUUCUCAGUCUUUUGCCGAAGAUCAAGUGUAGUAUCUUUUCUUAUUAGUUUAAUAUCUGAUACACUGCCAUAUAAUCCAGAUUAUCAAAGCAGAUAAUCCACAUUUUCUACUUUGAACUGGAUUAUAUGAGUCUUU